UUCAUGAAGCUGGAAUUGCUAGUAAUGGCAGGUCAGCAUACUGCCGUGAAUACGUUCCCGGGCCUUGUACACACCGCCCGUCACACCAUGAGAGUUGGGAAUACCCGAAGCCUGUGAGCUAACUUUUAGAGGCAGCAGUCGAAGGUAGAAUCAAUGAUUGGGGUGAAGUCGUAACAAGGUACC
RNAcentral lists this ribosomal RNA (183 nucleotides) under uncultured bacterium. RNAcentral describes it as "partial 16S ribosomal RNA". It matches the Rfam family "Bacterial small subunit ribosomal RNA", at positions 1317 to 1500 of the family's 1533-position model. The record is from RNAcentral.